Molecule: ribosomal RNA, 253 nt
Filed under: uncultured bacterium
Lineage: Bacteria
Description: partial 16S ribosomal RNA
Rfam family: Bacterial small subunit ribosomal RNA
Source: RNAcentral
UACGGAGGAUGCAAGCGUUAUCCGGAAUGAUUGGGCGUAAAGCGUCCGCAGGUGGCUGUGUAAGUCUGCUGUUAAAGAGUCUAGCUCAACUAGAUAAAAGCAGUGGAAACUACACGGCUAGAGUACGUUCGGGGCAGAGGGAAUUCCUGGUGUAGCGGUGAAAUGCGUAGAGAUCAUGAGGAAGACCAGUGGCGAAGGCGGGUCUCUGGACAGUUCCUGACACUGAGGCACGAAGGCCAGGGGAGCAAACGGG